This 507-nucleotide ribosomal RNA is filed under the name uncultured Paenibacillus sp. RNAcentral's name for it is "bacterial SSU rRNA". It matches the Rfam family "Bacterial small subunit ribosomal RNA", at positions 352 to 851 of the family's 1533-position model. The record is from RNAcentral. Lineage: Bacteria; Bacillati; Bacillota; Bacilli; Caryophanales; Paenibacillaceae.
CAGUAGGGAAUCUUCCGCAAUGGGCGCAAGCCUGACGGAGCAACGCCGCGUGAGUGAUGAAGGUUUUCGGAUCGUAAAGCUCUGUUGCCAGGGAAGAACGUCCGGUAGAGUAACUGCUAUCGGAGUGACGGUACCUGAGAAGAAAGCCCCGGCUAACUACGUGCCAGCAGCCGCGGUAAUACGUAGGGGGCAAGCGUUGUCCGGAAUUAUUGGGCGUAAAGCGCGCGCAGGCGGUUAUUUAAGUCUGGUGUUUAAACCUUGGGCUCAACCUGAGGUCGCACUGGAAACUGGGUGACUUGAGUACAGAAGAGGAAAGUGGAAUUCCACGUGUAGCGGUGAAAUGCGUAGAUAUGUGGAGGAACACCAGUGGCGAAGGCGACUUUCUGGGCUGUAACUGACGCUGAGGCGCGAAAGCGUGGGGAGCAAACAGGAUUAGAUACCCUGGUAGUCCACGCCGUAAACGAUGAGUGCUAGGUGUUAGGGGUUUCGAUACCCUUGGUGCCGAAG